This 12633-nucleotide long non-coding RNA is filed under the name Gossypium raimondii (Peruvian cotton). Its description in RNAcentral is "long non-coding RNA (GRAI_LNC000159)". The record is from RNAcentral. Lineage: Eukaryota; Viridiplantae; Streptophyta; Magnoliopsida; Malvales; Malvaceae.
UAUUUUCUUUUUAUUAUUAUGCUAAUCAUUGUGGUUCAUUUGGUGCAGGUGCUAAACCAUGAGAUUCCCUAUGAUUUCAUGGACAAAAUUGAAAGCUUGACGAAAGAGCAUUACAAGAAAUGCAUGGAGCAAAGGUUUAGGGAAUUGGUGGCAAGCAAGGCCCUUGAGGGUCUCUAGGCUGAGGUUACUGAUAUGGACUGGGAAAGUACCUUCUAUUUGCGCCAUCUCCCUGAAUACAGGAAGGUGAUGAAAGAAUUUGUAUUGAAAUUGGAGAACUAGCAGAGGAGCUGCUGGACUUGUUCUGUAAGAACCUUGGGCUCGAGAAAGGGUACCUCAAAAAGGCUUUCUAUGGGGAAAAAGGUCCGACUUUUGGCACCAAAGUUAGCAACUACCCACCAUGCCCCACCCCAAAUAAAAUCAAGGGACUCAGAGCCCACACGGACGCCGGUGGCAUCAUAUUGUUGUUCCAAGACCCCCAAGUGGGCGGCCUUCAGCUUCUUAAAGACGGAGAAUGGGUGAAUGUUCCUCCUUUGCACCACUCCAUUGUCAUCAACCUCGGGGACCAGCUGGAGGUCAUCACCAACGGUCAAUAUAAGAGCGUGGAGCAUAGGGUGAUUGCCCAAACCGACGGUGCUCGGAUUGUUGGUACAUAAUUAAAUUAAUCUUGUACAAAUAAAUUAUGAAAAGUUAGAAGAGUGAAGAGACUUGAAUAUGAAGAGUGAAGAGACUUGAAGAUGAAAAGUUACACACAUUAUGAAGAGUGAAAAGACUUGAAGAUGAAAAGUUACACACAUGCAUGGAUAGUCAUAACUCUUAUAGUAUUUAAGUUAUGUAAAUGGAUAGUCACAACUCCUAGCAUUUAGUGAUAUAGAUGAAUAGUUACUUACAACUCCUAUAUAAAGAGUUGUAUGUGAUGAAGAAUGUAGUAGAGUGAUUGAAAUAAAAAGUUCAUUAGAAGGAAUUUUAUUUCUUCCAUAUACAAAAAUUAUUUCUCUUUUCAUUAUAUUCUUUAUCAUUUUCUUUGUUGUAUUUCUCCAAAUAUUGUUCAAUUUUCUACAAAUUGGUAUCAGAGCCUUGUUUGAUCGAAAUGAACAAUUCUAUUCCUCUUUCUUCCGUUCCCCAAUUAACUAAAGAAAAUUAUGGCAAAUGGAGUAUCCAAAUGAAGGCUCUUCUUGGAUCUCUAGAAGUUUGGGAGAUUGUUGAAAAAUGUUAUAAUGAAGUUGAGGCUGAAGUGGAGGAAGGAUUAACACAAGUUCAAAAAGAGAGUCUAAGAAAAUCAAGGAAGAAAAAUUAGCAAGCCUUAUUUUGGAUAUAUCAAGGAGUUCAAUCAUAUGAAGCGGCUUGGGAAAAAAUAGCUUGUGCCACCACGGCAAAAUAAGCAUGGGAAUUUUUACAAAAUUCAUUCAAAGGAGAUGAAAAGGUGAAAAGAGUUCGGUUGUAAACUCUUCGAGGGGAGUUUGAAAGAUUGCAAAAAAUAGAGUCAGAAUCAGUUUCUGAUUACUGUUCACGGGUUUUGUCCAUAUUCAACCAAUUAAAAAAAUGGUGAAACUAUGAAUGAUAUUCGUGGUGUUGAAAAAUCCCCCGUUCUUUAGAUUCCAGAUUUGACUACAUUGUGGUAGCCAUUGAAGAAUCAAAGGACUUGAGUACCAUGACUAUUGAUGAACUCACAGGUUCGUUGCAAGCCCAUGAAGAAAGAUUAAACAAGAAGAAAAAGGAAGUAGAUCUAGAUCAAGCACUCCAGUCAAAGUUGUCUCUGAAUGAGAAGAAGGGAGAUUUUAAAAAUCAAAGAGGAAGGGAGCGUGGUCGUGGAAGAGGAAGAAAUUUUAGAGGAAAAGGCUCAAAUGCUCGUGAAAGAGGUGAAGAUGCAAGCACGGAGAAUGGAUGGAAAGAAGCCAACCAAAGUCAAAAUUUUAGAGGAUCACAAAGAGGACGUGAAUGUGGAAAUCAAAGAGGAAGAGGUCGUGGCUAUUUUGAAUGUUAUCAUUGUCGCAAACCUGGUCAUUUGGCAAGUGAAUGCUGGUACAAAAAAGAAGAAAAAAAUGAAGCUAAUAUAGUACAAAAUAAUCAAUAGCAAAAGCAAGAAACUUUGUUGCUCGUAUCUCAUGGUGGAGAGAUUGAUGAUGUCGGGUACAUAGACAGUGGUGCUAGCAAGCAUAUGACAGGUGACAAAAAUUUAUUUUCGAAGUUAUUUGAAUCUGAUUGUGGAGAAGUAAAAGUAGGAGAUGGCAAAGCUUACAAAGUUAGCGGUGUUGGUGAGUUGGAGUUCAAAACAAAGCAAGGAAGGGUAGAGAAAAUGUCUGAAGUUUAUUUUGUUCCUGGUCUUAAAAAUAAUCUACUUAGCGUUGGGCAUCUCUUGAAGGGGUAUGAUAUUCAUUUCCGUGACAUGGCUAGAGUUGGAGUGGCAUCAAAUAAUCUUUUCUCUCUCACCCUUCAAAAUCAGAAUAUGUCUUGCUUUAUUGGUGCUCAUAAAGGAAUUUCAAAGUUAUGGCAUGAUAGAUAUGGACAUUUGAACUAUGGAAAUUUGGAGAUGCUUUCAAGGACGAUGAUGGUCAGAGGUUUACCAAAAAUCGAUCGGCUUGAUAAUGUUUGUGAAGCAUGUCAACUUGGAAAGCAUCACAAAAUUGCUUUUCCUUCUCAAUCCUCGUGGAAAGCAAGAAGACCAUUACAACUUAUUCACUCGGAUCUUUGUGGUCCAAUGACAGUUUCAUCUUUGGGAGGUAAUCGUUACUUUAUCUCUUUCAUUGAUGAUUACUCAAGAAAGUUAUGGGUGUAUUGUGUCAAAUAAAAAUCAGAGGCUUUUCAGAGAUUCAAAGAUUUCAAGGCAAAAGUAGAGAACUUUACUGGGCUGAAAAUUAACACCUUACGGACAGAUCGUGGAGGUGAAUAUUUUUCAAAAGAAUUUGAGAAAUAUUACCGAGAUAGUGGCAUCUGGCAUGAAAUGACAGUCCGCCAUACACCUCAGCAAAAUGGUGUGUGUGAAAGAAAGAACAGAACAAUUAUGGAAAUGGCUAGAUGUCUUCUUAAGAAGAAGAGGUUAUCAAGAAGAUUUUGGGUUGAAGCUGUUUCCUGUGUAGUUUAUCUUAUAAACAGAUCACCAACAAGAAGCUUGGAGAAUUACACACCACAUGAGGCGUGGUAUGGUAUAAAGCCUAGUGUUCGUCAUUUUAGAGUAUUUGGGAGUGUUGCUUACUCUCAUAUUCCAGAUGCAAUGAGAAGCAAGUUGGAUGACAAGUCAGAGAAAUGCAUUUUCAUUGGCUAUAGUGAAAGAAGUAAGGCAUACAAGUUGUACAAUCCGGUGACAAAGAAGAUUGUGAUAAGCUGAGAUGUUUGGUUUGAUAAAAAUUCCAUGUUUGAAGAUAUGGAAGUUGAAAAGGAAAAUUUGCCAAUUUUUCCUUUUGAACUUGAAGAAGAAGAAGAGGAAGUAAUUGAGAAUGCUGAAGAUGAUGCUCAAGUAGGAAAUCCUCUUGCUUCCCCAAGUUCUUCAUCAAAUUCUUCUUCAUCUAGCCCGAUCCGAAAAAUGAGAAGCAUCCAAGAGUUAUAUGAUGUAACGGAUGAAGUUGUGCAAAAUGAUGCUGUAUUCUUUGCUUUCUUUGCAGGAGAAGAUCCUAUUUCUUUUGAUGAUGCAUAUCAAGAAGAAAUAUGGAGGAAAGCCAUGAAAGAAGAGAUUUGCUCAAUUGAAAACAAUGAUACAUGGGAACUCACAGAUUUACCGCCGUACAAGAAUUCAAUUGGAGUCAAAUGGGUGUACAAGAGAAAGAUGAAUCCGAAUGGCUCUAUCAACAAGCACAAGGCAAGACUGGUUGCAAAAGGAUACAAGCAAAAGGAAGGAGAAGAUUUUACAGAGGUAUUUGCUCCAGUUUCAAGACUUGAGACAGUUCGGUUACUUAUUUCUCUUGCUGCCUAAAACAAUUGGAAAAUGUUUCAAAUGGACGUAAAAUCUGCGUUUUUGAAUGGUGUUCUCAAAGAAGAAGUCUAUGUUGAUCAACCACCAGGGUUUGUCAAAAAAGGAGAAUAAGAAAAAGUUUACAAGUUGAAGAAAGCUUUGUACGGGUUGAAGCAAUCACCCCGAGCUUGGUACAGCCGUAUCGAUUCUUAUUUUCAGAAGUGUGGAUUCCAGAAAUCUCCAUAUGAGCAUACUCUCUACAUCAAAGGAAAUUCUCAAGGAAGAUUCAUGGUUGUAAGUCUCUAUGUUGAUGAUAUUAUUUUCACAGUAAAUGAUGUGAAGAUGUUGAAAGAAUUUCGGCACUCAAUGAUUGCAGAAUUUAAGAUGACAGAUUUGGGAGAACUUCAUCAUUUUAUAGGCAUUUAAGUUCAUCAAUCGGAGAAAGGAAUUUUUAUUUCACAAGAGAGCUACGCAAAGGAUGUUCUAAAAAAGUUCAUGAUGGAAAAUGCGAAUCCAGUCUCUACUCCAUGCAUUACAGGUCUGAAGUUAUCUAAAGAGGGUAAAGGAAAGCUUGUCAAUUCUACCAUUUUCAGAAGAUUGGUUGGGAAGUUGAUGUAUCUGACUUCGACAAGGCCUGACAUCGUGUAUGCUGUUAGCUUGGUGAGUAGAUUCAUGGAGAAACCUUACUCCAAUCACUGGGGGCUGCCAAGAGAAUAUUGAGUUAUGUGAAGGGAACCAUUGAUUAUGGAAUUUUCUAUAAAGCUAAUACAUUAGUUGAUCUCAUUGGUUAUACGGAUAGUGAUUUAGCAGGAAGCAUUGAUGAUAGCAGAAGCACUUCUGGUUAUGUUUUUCACCUUUGUAGUGGUGCAAUUUCAUGGAGUUCAAAGAAACAAUCAGUUGUGGCGCUUUCGACUACAGAAGCUGAAUAUAUCGCUGCAUCUUAUGCAGGAUGUCAAUUGAUUUGGUUACGUGGAAUUUUUGAGAGUCUUAAGCAGAAGCAGAGCAAGUUAACGAUUUUGUUUUGUGACAAUAGUUCUACUAUUUCGGUCACAAAAGAUCCAGUUCUUCAUAGAAGGACAAAACACAUUCGCAUUCGGUCUCACUUCUUGAGGGAACUAGUGAAUAAUGGUGAUAUUCAAGUUGAAUAUUGCAAGACAGAAGAUCAGAUGGCUGAUAUCUUCACAAAGCCGCUUAGUGGACAAGUCUUCAAGAAAAAUGUUGAAAGGUUGGGAGUUCGAAGCAAGUUUAAUUUAAGGGAGGCAUUGUUGGCACAUAAUUAAAUUAAUCUUGUACAAAUAAAUUAUGAAAAGUUAGAAGAGUGAAGAGACUUGAAUAUGAAGAGUGAAGAGACUUGAAGAUGAAAAGUUACACACAUUAUGAAGAGUGAAGAGACUUGAAGAUGAAAAGUUACACACAUGCAUGGAUAGUCAUAACUUUUAUAGUAUUUAAGUUAUGUAAAUGAAUAGUCACAACUCCUAGCAUUUAGUGAUAUAGAUGAAUAGUUACUUACAACUCCUAUAUAAAGAGUUGUAUGUGAUGAAGAAUGUAGUAGAGUGAUUGAAAUAAAAAGUUCAUUAGAAGGAAUUUUAUUUCUUCCAUAUACAAAAAUUAUUUCUCUUUUCAUUAUAUUCUUUAUCAUUUUCUUUGUUUUAUUUCUCCAAAUAUUGUUCAAUUUUCUACACGGAUGUCGAUAGCUUCGUUCUACAAUCCCGGCAGCGACGCCGUUAUAUACCCGGCGCCGGCCUUGCUGGAGAAAGAAGAAGAAGAGAAGAAAGGAUUGUACCCAAAAUUUGUGUUCGAAGAUUACAUGAAGCUUUACGCUUUGCUUAAAUUCCAGGCCAAGGAACGGAGGUUUGAAGGCAUGAAAGCCAUUGCAACAGCUUAAAAAAUGGAAGUUAAUCUACACCCUAAAAGUCCUUAACCAUAUAUGUACCAACCUGGAAAUCUUAUCGUUGUAAUUUUGGACCACUUCAUUAAUUGUUGGGGGUAAUAUAUAUUGCUACUUCAAUAAUUCCAUCCUUCAUACAGUUUCUACGUUAAACUCUAAAAUACCUAAUUAUUCUUUUGAUGAUUGGUGUUGAUUUCAUUUACUUGGAUCUGCAAAACUUAAUGCCAUGAAAUUGAUUGAAUAGUUGGCGAAACAAUUGUUGCAAUUUUUGUUUUUAAGCAUAACUCACAGAUGUAGGAUUAUAAACCCCCACUGUCUCCUCCUUUUUCUUUUAUUAUUUCAUGCUUCAAUUUUGUACAUCCACAAACAUAUAUGUUUUUUGAACCAACAUUUCUAGCCAAUCAAAUUUCACAAAACCACUCCUCAAAUUACCAAAAUUCAUUGAAUAAAACCCACAACUCUGAUUAAUUUCAAAAUUCAAGUUACCAAAUGUUACUUACAUGAAAACUAACCCUACACGUUGUGUAUUGCUAAAGAUGGCUACAAGUCUAAAUAAAAUAAUUGGGAUUUUCUCUAACCUACGUAAUGGGUGAUCAACUCAAGCCUAAACUAAACAUAGAAAUUAAUUUCCAGUUUAAUGAAAAACAUAGGUAGAAAAACACAAAUUCAAACCAAAUUUAAUUAAAAGAAGCCCCACAAUUAGUAAUUAUUGUUUUGGAGUUGUAAUAAAAUUUUUAUCCGACAUGCUUUACUAACAUGAUGAUAUGGGCUACAAAUAUCCAAUAGAUGUAAUUCUUGAUGCAUUGGAAAGCUGACAAACAAAGCUACCGGUCAUAUGGAGAGUGUUUGGUCUAAUUCCCCGGACAUCAAAUACUUAAGUUGAUCUAACCUCGUACGUUGGUAUGAUGGUUAGGGUGUUUACCGUCUCAAAUGUAAGCUGGGUUCGAGUCGUGUUAAACGCUUAUAAUUCACCAAAAAGAGAAAAACUUAAGUUCACCCCAAAUAAGUAUAUAUGAAGAUGAGAAUUUUGUCUCUCAAUAUAAUACUAAAAUUGUCCGUUCAAUAUCCAUUUAUGAAAACGGAACACAUUUCAUGAUCAGCGCGUAGGUAUUUUAAUUACAACAAAAAAAAAAAUUGAAUAACAAACACCCUAAGUAUAAUUGAUAAUUAAUUUAAAUCGUAAGCAUGUUACUAACAAAUUUUUAGAGGUGAUUGAUUCAAGAUGGUUUGGGUGCAUAAUGUUUUUUCUCAAAUGAAUUAAUUAGUUAUGGGUUGAAAGUUAUGAGCAUAUUAAUAACUUAAAAAUAUUAGUUCGGUAAGAUUUAAUAUGAUUUUUAUUUAACCUAUAUAUUAAUAAACUAUCAAAAUUAUAAAAAUGCGAAUUUUGAAAAAAAAAAAGUAUUUAAAUGAGAACCAUAAUAUUCAUAAAGGAUAUAAGGAAUUAUGAAUGAUCUAAAUCACUAAAAAAAUGUUAAAUUGUGUUGAAUUUAGGUGUAAUUAUUUAUAAUUAUAUAUGUGAAGCAUAUUUGGAUAACCAUAGUAAUUAGUGGAUCAUACUGAAUUAUGAUUACACUCUCCAAUUGUUGGAGGAUGGUGAGAAUAUUUGAAGUAAUUAUGCAUGUAAUUACAAACAAUUACAUUCAAAUUGGAGUAAUUACGUGGGGAUAUAUUUUAUUUUUAUAAUAUAAUAAAUAUACUAAUCUCAUUUAAAUAGUCUAAAAAGUUUUAUUAACCGAAGAUCAUUUUUUAGACAUUUUGAUGUAGUAAAUGUUUAAAUAAAUUACAUAGUAUAUAUCUAUUAUUUAUUUAUAUGUGGUCAAAGACUAAUUGAGGAUGACAAUGAGUAUAUGUUUAAUAUUAGAGAGGGAAUAAUAACCCAACAAAUAUGGAAUGCUAAAUUGUUUAGACAAAAAAAAUAUAAAAUAUUUAUUUUUCAUGUUAAUUUUAUUAAAAUUGUAAAAAAAAAUACUUUUUUGGACUAACAUAUUACAUUUAAAGACUUCAAUUUUAAGUAGAAUUUUUCCUCAAGUAUUAUUGAUAAUAUUUUAUAAGAAUUAGUAUUAUUUUUUAGAAUUUCAAAUUAUAAAAUUGUAUAAUUACAUUUUAUAUUACCAUUACCAAAUAUGAAAAAGAUAAUUACGGUGUAAUCACACUCUAUCAAUUAAACAUGUAUAAAGAAUGAAUAUUUUCUUAUAAUUAUAUUUCGAUUCAAUUACUUUAUGGUGUUCACGUAACAAAAUAAAUAAUUAAACAAACAAUUAAUAAAGAGUGUGGAUGACCAAGAACUAUAGAAUUUGCUGAUUAAAUGAACCGAUCGACGGGAAUGAUGGACAUGUCUCAUUUGGGGCUUAAAAUAAUUUUAUUUUAAUUCGAAUUAAUUAUCAUUCAAUAAAUGUAUUUGUUUUAUUUUGGUUAUUAAAAUGUGUAUUUGUAUAAAUAAUAAUUCAUGAAACUUUCAAUUUCAUUAAAGGGCUUUGAGAAAAAAAGAAGUCCCCACCACCUUUGGAACUCACCUUGCCGACCUCCAUGCACGUGCACAUGCACUUCAAUUGUUUUAUAUAAAAUAAUUAGUUAUAAAUUGAAUGCAUACAAAACUAACUACAUUUUGAUACCUUUUUAACUGUCUCCCACAACCUGAUAUAUAAAAGGAAACAUUGCCUUUGAUUUCAUCUAUACAUCUUUUACCAUUAUUUAAUAAUUGAUACAUCAUUGCCAAGUUGCCAACCCAUCUCUCUUUGUUUUAUUGGUUAAGGUGAGUGCUUUGAAUCCUUACAAAUUUCUCUCAUAUUUGUUCUUUUUAACAUCAUACUUAAAAUUACUCAUAGUCUCUCCUCAACCCAUAAAUAAAAGGGCAGCAUCUUUUUAUAUUAACAACAAUGCCCAUGCCAAUUAAGCUAAUACUCAAUUGACAAAUUUAGGUUCAAAUUUUAAUGUGUGUAAUUGCAAGAUACAAAUCUCCAAUCUUAUCGUGUGUAUUUCAUAUAUGAAUUUUGUCUAUUUUUUUUUUCAAUUUUUCAUCUAAUUUACUUUACAAAAAAUUAAUUUUACACGAUAAUUACUCAAAAAUAUAUAUUAUCCAUGAAUUUGAUUAUCCAUUGAAGGCCAACACAAUAAAUGAAGCACUCUCAAAUAGGGUGAGCAAAACUCGAUUCGACUCGAAAAAAUAGAAAAAAGAAUUCGAAUUUCGAGUUAAACGAAUCGAGUUAUUUGAGUUAAUCGAAUUAUUUUUUUGAGUUUCGAGUUCGAAUCGAGUUGAGUUUUCGAAUUCGAAUAACUCGAAUAAUUUGAGUAAUUCAAAUAUCAAACUAUAAUAUUUUAUAUUUUUACCCCAAACUCCCAAACCUUUUUACUUUUCCCUCAAAAACUUUUACUUCUUCCCACUUUCCCCCCAAAACUUUUACUCCCCUCCCAUCCCAACCCUCCAUCUACCCAAAAUUCAUUUCCCACCAAAAUUUUACUCUCAAAAACCCUCAAAAUUUUUUAUUUUCCCCCAAAAUUUUUAUUCCCUUCCCAUCCCACCCCCCAUCUACCCCAAACACCCCCCAAUUUUUUUAAAUAUUUUCCCUCCAAAAUUUUAAACUUUUACUCCCCAAAACUUUUUAUUUUCCCCCUAAACUUUUACUUCUCACCCUUUACUCCCAAAUAAAAAAUCAAAAUUAUCCAAAAACAUCUUUAAACAUAAAUAGUAAUACUUUUAUUUAUAUCUACUAUUUAUAUUAUUAAAUUAAAUUUCACAUUUUAUAUUAUUUAUAUUAUUGAAUUGUUUAGUCAUAUUGAAUAUUUAUAUUAAAAUUGAAUUAUUAAUGAUGCCAUAAAAUAUUUGUGUAAAAAUUUUAUAUUGGUAUCAAUUUCACAUUUCAUCUUUAGAAUAACUUUUAUUAAAAAAUCACAUUUUUACAUUUAAUAUAUAUUUUAAUUCCAAAAGACAUAGUGACAAGAAUCUGAAGAUAAUUGAAACAACUAAGCAAGUAAAGAAGCUAACCCGUAUAUAAAAGAUUAAUAAAUAAAUUAUGAGGUGAUGAAAGUUAAUAAAAAAAAUAAUUAUGGUGGACAAAUUUUAUUAUGAUGAGUGACAGCGAUUACAAGGACCUAAAAUUAUUUUUUAAAAUUUAACUUGAACAAAUAUAUUCGAUUCGAUUCAAAUUUCAUUUCACUCGACUCGAUUCUAGAAAAUUUCAAAUCAAAUUAGGAUGAUAAAAUAUGAUUCAUCAACUCGAUUAACUUGAAAUAUUUUCAUUCGAUUUGAUCGAAUGCUCACCCUUACCCUCAAAAGAGUCGAAGGCAACCGAACAUAAGACCCCUAAACAGUAAGCUGAGAACAUAGAAAACCGAAUUUGAUAACUAAGUGAACUGUACAAACAUGUGGUGAGGUAUUGUUAUUUUAUGAUUAAGAUAGAUCAUGCACAUAGUGUCCACAAUAUAAUUUUUAAUUUAACAAAAGUACAUAUAUAAAAGAAAUAAACUUGUUAUUUUAGCUUUCAAAACAAAAAGAAGAUAACCACAGAAAAAAGAAAAGAAAAAGGUGGCUGCUAAUUUUUUUUAAAAUUAGGCAAGAAAUUAAUUGAGAGGGAGGAAUUUUCAAGGCUCCUUGAAUAAAUAAAUAAAUAAAAACAAAUUUAAAUGUUAUAAAUUUGAACGGGUUAAAAAUGAGAUUUGUAUUUUGGCAACAAAUUUAUUAAAUGAGUAGAGUUUUUAGAGUAUAAGGUGAAAUAUGUUGUAUUUAAAAUAAAAAGAAAGGAUAGUAUUUAACGUCUGCUUGUAAAAUAUCCUAAUAUUCUUGGGAGACAUUUAAAACAUGUGAAUUUUGACCCCAAAUAUUCCACACCAUUUUCGAAUUUGAUUUUUCUAUUUUCUUGAAUAAUAAUUUGACUUGGGUCAAACACUCCGCGUUUUUGCCUAACAACGACGACAUGGCGGCUAACAAUGGCUUUCUUAAAUAAAUUUAAGAGUCAAGCUUUCUUCCUUAUUUUUCUUAUUAUAAAAUUGUAUUACAAUUUGACAUUUACUUUUGCUUUUUAAUGUUUUAAAUGAAAUUUUCAUUUCUUGUUCUUUUCAAAUAUGAAAUAGUUAUGGAAUGAGUUUCAUGAUGUCUCAAUCUCUUUCAAUUUUCUUUUUUUUUUUUUAAUUAUUCACAAACCCUUCAAUUACUAAUUACGUCAUUAAAUGAACAAAAAUGGAAUUUAAUUAAAGAAUUUUUUUCCAAAAUCGGAAUUAUAAUUGGAUAGGAGGGACUAAAGGUUUGAUAUUAAAAUUUUUUAAAAUAAAUCAUAUUUGUUUAGGAAAAUCAUUUUUGAAUCAACAAUUUAAGAAAAAUUUUAUAUUUUACUGAUUGAGUCUUAACUCGAUUGACAUUGGUAUUGUUGUCAAUACAUAAGGACGUGGGUUCGAGUACGCUGAAGCGCAUUAUCUUCUUAUUUAUAGGUUGGGAGCGGCUAUAGUAAUUUUAGUCAUUGUGUAAAACAAAAAAUAUAUAAUCAGAAUGUAUAACAAAAUUAUUAACAAAAUAUAUUUUUUAACCAAAUAAAUAUAACAUAAAUUUAUUUGACGGUGGAACGGAAUGAAAUUGCUGAUACUUAAAUUUUGGUCAAAAUUAACAAGAAAGAAAUGACUCUUUUAGAGUCAUCAAAAUGUGUGUCCAAAUGCCAACAAUGGACCCAAAGGACCAAAGGGUUGAUCGUUACUUCAACAAGGGAAUUCAAUUUUAGCAUAGAUUUAACCCCCCAACAUUUGUUUGAAUUUCUUUUAUUUAAAAUAAUUAGAAAUCAUUGAUUAAUUAAAACUUUAAUCAAUUCAACAUAAAAAAUAGAUAAAAAAAUUUGAAAUUGUGACAAAUUUAAAUAUAAUCACUCGAAAAGUCGUAAUUAAUUUGUGACAAAAAUAGAUUAAAAUGCAAUUUUCAUAAAUAUAUUCAUUGUAUACCCAUCUAAAUAUUUUAUCUUAUUAUUUUGCUUUCAAUCAUACCUCUUUGUAAAGUAGGUUAUGAUUUAAAAAAAAUUGAAUUUAAAUUGUAAACUUUUUAAAUAUCACAUCUAAUUAAGAAAUGAUUUUAAAAUUGGAGUUAUGCAUGUACUAAUAGUAGUAUUAUUUUCCAAUUUUCCUCCUCGCUUCCUUUGUUAAUUUGUUGAUACUAUUAAUUUUUGACCCACAAGCCGACAUCCGCUUGAAUUAUAUACCUUUAAACCUCACUUGUAACUAUCUAUAAAUAGCCCCAUACCCCUUUCCUCCCUUCUGCAUUAAACAAAUCUAAGCUUUUGCAUAAUAACAUCCCCACCGUAGACAGCCUCACUCUGAGAGUUCUUUAGAAAAAAAAUAAAGUGGUAAGAGAAAUGGGAAAAUUCCCAGUGAUCAACUUGGAGAAACUGAAUGGUGAGAGAGCAGCAACCAUGGAUCUAAUCAAAGAUGCCUGUGAGAAUUGGGGCUUCUUUGAGGUACCGAUUGCUACUUUAUAUGUAUAUAUACUCUAUUCUCCUUGGUAGAUUUUUGCUAAUUAUUAGCGUGGUUCCUUUGGUGCAGGUGUUGAACCAUGGGAUUCCCUAUGAAUUUAUGGACAGAGUGGAAAGCUUGACGAAGGAGCAUUACAAGAAAUGCAUGGAGCAAAGGUUUAAGGAACUGGUGGCAAGCAAGGCCCUUGAGGGUCUCCAGGCUGAGGUUACUGAUAUGGACUGGGAAAGUACCUUCUAUUUGCGCCAUCUCCCUGAAUCCAACAUGGCUGAAAUCCCAGAUCUAACCGAUGAAUACAGGAAGGUGAUGAAAGAAUUUGCAUUGAAAUUGGAGAAACUAGCAGAGGAGCUGCUGGACCUGUUCUGUGAGAACCUUGGUCUAGAAAAAGGAUAUCUGAAAAAGGCUUUCUAUGGGGCAAAAG